GCCUCUUGCAUUCUUUUCCAAGGCAGGAAAGAUAAUUGGUAAUAUAACUUUACGAUUUUGUUUGAUUAGGUUCUCAACAUGAUCAUUGUUCCACAGGAACAAAGCCCUCUCAGCGACCUGAAAGUGUGAGCUGCUCAAGCAACGAUUUAUCCGACGAAACAAGGGAACCAUACAGCGCUGAAACUCUGGAGGCUGAGUUGCUUCUAAGACCUCUUCCAGCUCACCUAUGAACAUUACCUCCUUUGAACUGUUUGUAAUAGGCCAAUAUUUCAACAAACCUCUUAUGACAGUAUCAGCAAGCUUGCAGUCCUUUUCCACAAAUUGUGUUAUGCAGUAAGAUAACUGCUGAUGAUACAUUUGUACGCAUUUUGGUUUGUGAAGUGGAAUAAGAGCUCGAACAAGGAACAACUUGUGUUCUUCCUUUAGUGGUAGAGCAAAUCCAUUGAUUAUACUGCCCAAAAUUUCUAAAAGUUCUGCUAUUCCAUUAUGCUUCUCAGUUUCAAAGAUAAACCGGUAAAAUAUAUUGUUGAUUGAUUUCCUAAUAAAAGGGC
RNAcentral lists this unclassified non-coding RNA (551 nucleotides) under Hevea brasiliensis (rubber tree). The record is from RNAcentral. Lineage: Eukaryota; Viridiplantae; Streptophyta; Magnoliopsida; Malpighiales; Euphorbiaceae.